AUUGAACGCUGGCGGCAUGCUUUACACAUGCAAGUCGAACGGUAACAGGCUGCUAGGUGCUGACGAGUGGCGAACGGGCGGGUAAUGCAUCGGAACGUGCCCAGCCGUGGGGGAUAACUACUCUUAAGAGUAGCUAAUACCGCAUCCGAUCUAUGGAUGAAAGCGGGGGACCGUAAGGGCUCGCGCGAUUGGAGGGGCCGAUGCCGGAUUAGGUAGUUGUUGGGGUAAAGGCUCACCAAGCCAACGAGCUGUAGCUGGUCUGAGCGGACGACCAGCCACACUGGAACGUGGACACGGCCCUUGCUCCUGCGGUAGGCAGCAGUGGGGAAUGUUGGGCAAUGGUCGCAAGCCUGAUCCAGCGAUGCCACGCGCAGGAAGGAGGCCUCCGGGUUGUAAACUGCUUUUGUGCGGAACAAAACGGCUCUGGUUAAGACCCGGGGCGAAUGACGGUACCGUAAGAAUAAGCACCGGCUAACUACGUG
This 482-nucleotide ribosomal RNA is filed under the name uncultured bacterium. RNAcentral's name for it is "partial 16S ribosomal RNA". It matches the Rfam family "Bacterial small subunit ribosomal RNA", at positions 30 to 507 of the family's 1533-position model. The record is from RNAcentral.